RNAcentral lists this ribosomal RNA (541 nucleotides) under Pseudopalaemon chryseus. Its description in RNAcentral is "partial 16S ribosomal RNA". It matches the Rfam family "Bacterial large subunit ribosomal RNA", at positions 1819 to 2628 of the family's 2925-position model. Lineage: Eukaryota; Metazoa; Arthropoda; Malacostraca; Decapoda; Palaemonidae. The record is from RNAcentral.
GUCUGUGUGAAUUAAUUAUAAAGUCUGGCCUGCCCGCUGAAUUUUUAAAGGGCCGCGGUAAUUUGACCGUGCGAAGGUAGCAUAAUCAGUAGUCUUUUAAUUGAAGGCUUGAAUGAAGGGUUGGACGAGGGAUAGGCUGUCUUUUUUACGUUGUUUGAAUUUAACUUUUAAGUGAGAAGGCUUAAAUAUUUAAAGGGACGAUAAGACCCUAUAAAACUUAACAUUUAUUARUUUUGACUCUUAAUUUGUGUUGAAAGUAGUUUUAGUUAAUUGAUGUUAUGUUGGGGAGAUAUAGAUAUAAGUGAAGUAACUGUCUAGUGAAUUUAAUAGCUAUAAUUAGUGUUCGAUCCUUUUUUAGGGAUUUUAAGAAAAAGUUACUUUAGGGAUAACAGCGUAAUUUUCCUUGAGAGUUCUUAUCGACAGGAGUAGUUGCGACCUCGAUGUUGAAUUAAAAUUUUUAGUUAGGUGUAGCCGCUUAAUCUUAUAGGUCUGUUCGACUUUUAAAAUUUUACAUGAUUUGAGUUCAAACCGGUGUGAGCCA